CACGUAGGCGGAUAUUUAAGUCAGGGGUGAAAUCCCAGAGCUCAACUCUGGAACUGCCUUUGAUACUGGGUAUCUUGAGUAUGGAAGAGGUAAGUGGAAUUCCGAGUGUAGAGGUGAAAUUCGUAGAUAUUCGGAGGAACACCAGUGGCGAAGGCGGCUUACUGGUCCAUUACUGACGCCGAGGUGCGAAAGCGUGGGGAGCAAACA
Molecule: ribosomal RNA, 207 nt
Filed under: uncultured bacterium
Lineage: Bacteria
Description: partial 16S ribosomal RNA
Rfam family: Bacterial small subunit ribosomal RNA
Source: RNAcentral